Molecule: ribosomal RNA, 662 nt
Filed under: uncultured cyanobacterium
Lineage: Bacteria; Bacillati; Cyanobacteriota
Description: bacterial SSU rRNA
Rfam family: Bacterial small subunit ribosomal RNA
Source: RNAcentral
CGGACGGGUGAGUAACGCGUGAGAAUCUGCCUUCAGGUCGGGGAUAACAGCUGGAAACGGCUGCUAAUACCGGAUGAGCCGAGAGGUAAAAGCAAAAGUGCCUGAAGAUGAGCUCGCGUCUGAUUAGCUAGUUGGUGGGGUAAGAGCCUACCAAGGCGACGAUCAGUAGCUGGUCUGAGAGGAUGAUCAGCCACACUGGGACUGAGACACGGCCCAGACUCCUACGGGAGGCAGCAGUGGGGAAUUUUCCGCAAUGGGCGCAAGCCUGACGGAGCAAUACCGCGUGAGGGAGGAAGGCCCUUGGGUUGUAAACCUCUUUUGUCAGGGAAGAAGGUCUGACGGUACCUGACGAAUCAGCAUCGGCUAACUCCGUGCCAGCAGCCGCGGUAAUACGGAGGAUGCAAGCGUUAUCCGGAUUUAUUGGGCGUAAAGGGUCCGCAGGUGGUUAUUCAAGUCUGCUGUCAAAGCGCGGAGCUUAACUCCGUACAGGCGGUGGAAACUGAGGAACUAGAGUCUGGUAGGGGUCGCGGGAAUUCCCAGUGUAGCGGUGAAAUGCGUAGAUAUUGGGAAGAACACCGGCGGCGAAAGCGCGCGACUGGACCGGAACUGACACUGAGGGACGAAAGCUAGGGGAGCGAAAGGGAUUAGAUACCCCUGUAGUC